UCCGGCUUAACGCCGGCGGUUUCCUUAGAGUGCCCAACUGAAUGAUGGCAACUAAGGACGAGGGUUGCGCUCGUUGCGGGACUUAACCCAACAUCUCACGACACGAGCUGACGACAGCCAUGCAGCACCUGUGUGGCAGCCAGCCGAACUGAAGGAAUCCAUCUCUGGAAACCAAACUACCCAUGUCAAGGCCUGGUAAGGUUCUUCGCGUUGCCUCGAAUUAAACCACAUGCUCCACCGCUUGUGCGGGUCCCCGUCAAUUCCUUUGAGUUUUAAUCUUGCGACCGUACUCCCCAGGCGGGGUGCUUAACGCGUUAGCUACGCCACCGAGACCUAGUGGUCCCAACGGCUAGCACCCAUCGUUUACAGCGUGGACUAC
This 379-nucleotide unclassified non-coding RNA is filed under the name uncultured Rickettsiales bacterium. Its description in RNAcentral is "contains 16S-23S intergenic spacer region". The record is from RNAcentral. Lineage: Bacteria; Pseudomonadati; Pseudomonadota; Alphaproteobacteria; Rickettsiales.